RNAcentral lists this unclassified non-coding RNA (219 nucleotides) under uncultured Actinomycetes bacterium. Its description in RNAcentral is "uncultured actinobacterium contains 16S-23S intergenic spacer region". It matches the Rfam family "Bacterial small subunit ribosomal RNA", at positions 976 to 1200 of the family's 1533-position model. The record is from RNAcentral. Lineage: Bacteria; Bacillati; Actinomycetota; Actinomycetes.
UGGGUUUGACAUGCACCGGACGCGGCCAGAGAUGGUCGUUCCCUUGUGGCUGGUGUGCAGGUGGUGCAUGGCUGUCGUCAGCUCGUGUCGUGAGAUGUUGGGUUAAGUCCCGCAACGAGCGCAACCCUUGUUCCAUGUUGCCAGCGGUUCGGCCGGGGACUCAUGGGAGACUGCCGGGGUCAACUCGGAGGAAGGUGGGGAUGACGUCAGUGCUUGCCU